CCUACGGGAGACAGCAGUGAGGAAUAUUGGUCAAUGGACGAGAGUCUGAACCAGCCAAGUAGCGUGAAGGAUGACUGCCCUAUGGGUUGUAAACUUCUUUUAUAUGGGAAUAAAACAGGGUACGCAUACCCUCUUGUAUGUACCAUAUGAAUAAGGAUCGGCUAACUCCGUGCCAGCAGCCGCGGUAAUACGGAGGAUCCGAGCGUUAUCCGGAUUUAUUGGGUUUAAAGGGAGCGUAGGUGGGUUGUUAAGUCAGUUGUGAAAGUUUGCGGCUCAACCGUAAAAUUGCAGUUGAAACUGGCAGUCUUGAGUACAGGAGAGGUAGGCGGAAUUCGUGGUGUAGCGGUGAAAUGCUUAGAUAUCACGAAGAACUCCGAUUGCGAAGGCAGCUUACUGGACUGCAACUGACACUGAUGCUCGAAAGUGUGGGUAUCAAACAGGAUUAGAUACCCCAGUAGUC
RNAcentral lists this ribosomal RNA (460 nucleotides) under uncultured bacterium. Its description in RNAcentral is "partial 16S ribosomal RNA". It matches the Rfam family "Bacterial small subunit ribosomal RNA", at positions 338 to 795 of the family's 1533-position model. The record is from RNAcentral.